Molecule: non-coding RNA, 30 nt
Filed under: Rattus norvegicus (Norway rat)
Lineage: Eukaryota; Metazoa; Chordata; Mammalia; Rodentia; Muridae
Source: RNAcentral
UCCAUGUCGGGGGCUCGUAACUGCCUGUAU